CCGAGUACCGGGUCUUCCAGGCCCUUGCUCCCACCCUUUGUGUACCUUACCUCUAUUCAGUUGCCUUGGCGGGUACGGCUUCGGCCGCCCGCCAGGGGGACCACCUUUAAACUCUGUCAACGGAGUCGUCUGAGAACAAAACAAAUAAGUUA
RNAcentral lists this unclassified non-coding RNA (152 nucleotides) under uncultured fungus. RNAcentral describes it as "sequence contains ITS1, 5.8S rRNA gene". Lineage: Eukaryota; Fungi. The record is from RNAcentral.